Long non-coding RNA from Pseudopipra pipra, 1968 nucleotides. RefSeq lists it as uncharacterized. NCBI's taxonomy places the organism in Eukaryota, Metazoa, Chordata, Aves, Passeriformes, Pipridae. The transcript has 14 exons. The record is from RefSeq and is a predicted model, not a curated record.
CGGUUGUGUGUGAGGGCUGAGGGCGCGGCCCCGCUGCUGCCCGGGCUGCGGAGGGGAGAGCGCCUUGGCCGCUGGCCUGGCUCGUGGUUUCCCUGGUGCUGGGGAGUGGAGGCGAGUUGUGCUUCCUGCUGGGAGAGAGAAGGGCCUUGGGAAGCUGCUCCAUGAGCCACAGCUGUGCCGAGCCCGGGAGUCUGUCCAGCAGGAUGUCGAGUGCCACCGUGUCCCUGAGGUUCCCCUUUCUGCUGUUGGGAGAGCACGAGGUGGAUGGAGAGGAUCCCCAGCCAUCUGCAGGCAAAAGGGACUCGCACAACUGCGAUUUUUCUCCAGGUCUCUUAAGGGGGACUUUCAGGGUACCAUGGGAGAAAAUCUGGAAAGCAGGAAGGAAGAAAAGAAGCCCCCUGACUCCUCCUGAGCCCCAGACAGCCCAUGAACUGCCUUGCUGGGAAUGGUAGGACAGGCUGGACUCUGGAUUGCUCCCUCUGGAUGUGUGGAAAGACUGAACUCCUGGUGCCGCCUGGGCCGAUGGAUUGGACGCCCCAGCCCCUCCGUUCCUGCCCAGCCACUGGGUCCGUGUCCAGUGGUGGCACUGCCAGCCCUGCAGUGGGAUGUAGCCUGGAAACAGCACAGAGCUGAGCCAAGGGAUUGAAAGGGACCAAGCAAGGGAGGUGAAGGAAGAAGGGAAGUGAGGCAGCAGGCAAGCAGCAGCAAGUUGCUGUGUAAGCAGGAUGUGAAUGCAAGAACCUGCCAAGGAACCAAUGACCAAGAUGAUUGAUCAGUGCAGGAUCUGAGAGAAGCACCUUGAAUGACAACCUCGAGCAGUUUCCAGUAUUGGAUUGAAAAGAUGGCCUUUGCUGCAUCUCCUUGAGCAAGGAAAGCCAAGAAACCCAUGAUUUGGAAGGAGAAAACCUGGAAAGGAGGAAGGAAGAAAAGAAGCUCCCUGACUCCUCCUGAGCCCCAGACAGCCCAUGAACUGCCUUGCUGGGAAUGGUGGGACGGGGUGGACUCUGGAUUGCUCCCUCUGGAUGUGUGGAACUCCAGGAACUCCUGGUGCCGCCUGGGCCGAUGGAUUGGACGCCCCAGCCCCUCCGUUCCUGCCCAGCCACUGGGUCCGUGUCCAGUGGUGGCACUGCCAGCCCUGCAGUGGGAUGUAGCCUGGAAAGUGCACAGAGCUGAGCCAAGGGAUUGAAAGGGACCAAGCAAGGGAGGUGAAGAAAGAAGGAAGAAGGGAACUGAGGCAUGAGCCAAGCAGCAGCAAGUUGCUGUGUAAGCAGAAGUUGCCCUUGAUGAACUUCCCAUCUGAGCUGAUGCCCUUGGCAGGAGAAGUGCUCAGCAAGGAGGCUCUUUGCUCCUAGGCAGGAAGAAAGAGGGAUAAUAACUCCUGUCAGCAGCAAGGUCCCGACUGAAGUGGCAGCUGCAGUUGUUCCUGUCGUGUGGGCCAGUGGAAUUCCAAGAAAAUGGACAAGGACAGAAGCUGUAAGAAUUACCCCUAAGGCAGAGUCUCUCCUGGCAGAAGAGCCCAGGCCUGAGCUGGCUGAGUGUUGGUGUGAGCCAGAGUGGGUGUCCCUGCCCUCGGACCAGUCCCCAGAGCUGCCUUUGGCAUCCCCUGCUGAAGGGUGGGAGCUGCCCAGAGCCAGCAGCAUCCAGCUGGAGGAUCCAGGAGGAUGCAGCUCUGCUUUGCUGGGAGCUUGUCCAGGAGAUGGAAUUCCAGUGCUACAGUCUGGGUGGGUCAUGGUGCUCCCAAAAGGAGCCUUUGUGCCUUCAGGACAAGUUUUGGUGCCACUGGAGCUGCUGGGAGAAGCAUAGGGUUGGCAGUGAGAGGCCUGGAAUGAUGUUGCUGUGGCACAGAAGAAAUGAGCAGUGAUGGUACAAUUGACUAUUUUGUCUUGAAUGUAAUGGACGUGAAUGCAAGAACCUGCCAAGAAAACCAAUGGCCAAGAUGAUUGAUGAGUGCAGGACCUGAGAGAACCC